Molecule: RNA transcript, 11880 nt
Organism: Trifolium pratense (red clover)
Lineage: Eukaryota; Viridiplantae; Streptophyta; Magnoliopsida; Fabales; Fabaceae
Gene name: protein transport protein SEC31 homolog B-like
Exons: 18
Source: RefSeq, a predicted model, not a curated record
AUGAAAAGUCGUUCUUUCUUCUUCAAAAAACAAGAAACACGCACACAUUGUGGUGUUGAGUGGGUCGCUAAAAAUCACGAAAUUGGCAUGCUCCAUCUGUUUGCUACGGCUUUUUUCUCUCUAUUGAAUUCUGCAGCUCCGAGGAAAGAUCAUCAGGCUGGAGAGGAGAAUGGAAGAAACCAGUCACAUCCACCAAAGAGUGUUGUGAAGAAAAUUAUGUACAUUCGACAUACAUUGCAGAACUUUAUAACACUAUAUCCAACAUUCCUACAAUUAUUUUGGCUCUGAUUGGUCUUAUAAAUGCUUUAAAACAGCGAUUUGAGAAAAGGUUCAGUAUCCUUCAUCUAUCAAACAUGACACUUGCCAUUGGGAGCAUGUUGUACCAAGCCACACUACAAUGAGUGUAAGUAAGCAUUGAUCUCAAUUUUUGUGUUGAAAUUUAUGCUUGCUUUACUGAUUGGUUCUAUUUUAUUUCCAACUAGUUUGUAUGAUACAAAAUGAGGUUGCCAUUUUAUAAAUUGUUUGUUACAUAACUGAAGAAUUCCGAAUUUAGGGAUAUAUCACUGUACUUGCCAUGGGUAAAUAUUGAACCAGAAAUAUUGGUUUAUAAUUAAUACUUAUUGGUAACGAUGAUGGGUUUUUGAUUUUUUUCAUUUUGAGUAUUCAAGAACUUUCAAUCUCCUGCUUUGGAAAAAAAUGAACUUUCAAUUUUUGGAGGAGAUUAAAUGUCACUGAAUGUGAAAGCUAGUUGUUGCUGUAAUUGCUUGUCUCUAUUGGUGUCCAUUUUUCUAUUAAAAAAAAAUUAUGAAUACCCUUAGUCCCUAAAUUAAAUUUUGCAACUGCAAUUAGAAGUGAUUUUGCAUUAUGAACUUAACGACCCUUGUCUCUAAUGUUACAUAAGUUUUGUGAGGGAUGGAUGCCUCAAUGACCGUUGAGGAAAAUGCAUUAUGAAUUCUUUAUUCAUAAUGGAAAAGUUGGAUUGUGGCUUUCAAAGAAAAGUAAUUUUAAUAUGAAAUCUAUUCAAAAUGUGGAUGGAUAGACUUUGUUCCAUGAUUUUUGUAAGGGUGGGCCAAAAUUUUUGGAUGAUGCCUUAAUGUGAAAGCUAGUAGUUGACCCUAGUCCCUAAAUGCUAUUAUCUAUUGUGCUUUGAGGGUAUAAACCCUAAAUCAAGAACAUUCAAUCUUCUGCUUAAUAAAAGGUAUAACUUUACCCAUUUUUCUCAUUCUUGAUCAUUCAAUCUUCUGCUUGAGAAAAACCUUAAGUGUGCAAAAAUGUGUUUCUGUGCCAAGAUAUCAUGUUUACGAUUGAUGCCUGUUGUGAUACUGAUUUUUUAAUUCUUGAUAAUUCAAUUCAAGAACAUUGAAUUUCUGCUUGAUGAAAGCACAAAACUUUAAUUGAGGAAACAUGUUUUGUCCCAAUAACUUUCAAUCUUCUGCUUAUUGGAAUCUUCAUUCCAACAUAUUUGCCCUGUUUGGUAUAUAAUUAAUACCUAUUGGUAACGAUGAUGGGUUUUCAAUUGUUUCAUUUUGAGUAUUCAAGAACUUCCAAUCUUCUGCUUUGGAAAAAAAUGAACUUUCAAUUUUUGGAAGAGUUUAAAUGUCACUGAAUGUGAAAGCUAGUUGUUGCCGUAAUUGCUUGUCUCUAUCGGUGUCCACUUUUCUUUUAAAAAAAAUUAUGAAUUUUUAUUCAUAAUAAUGCAUGAAUGGAUAUAUAUUCUGCUUCGAUGACCCUUAGUCCCUAAAUUCAAUUUUGCAACUGCAAUUAGAAGUGAUUUUGCAUUAUGAACUUAAUGACCCUUGUCUCUAAUGUUAAAUAAGGUUUUGUAAGGGAUGGAUGUCUCAAUGACCGUUGAGGAAAAUGCAUUAUGAAUUCUUUAUUCCUAAUGUAAAAGUUGGAUGGUGGCUUUCAAAGAAAAGUAAUUUUAAUAUGAAAUCUAUUCAAAAUGUGGAUGGAUAGACUUUGUUCCAUGAUUUUUGUAAGGGUGGCCCAAAAAUAUUGGAUGAUGCCUUACUGUGAAAGCUAGUUGUUGACCCUAGUCCCUAAAUCCUAUUAUCUAUUGUGCUUUGAGGGUAUAAACCCUAAAUCAAGAACAUUCAAUCUUCUACUUAAUAAAAGGUAUAACUUUAUCCAUUUUUCUCAUUCUUGAUCAUUCAAUCUUCUGCUUGAGAAAAACCUUAAUUGUGCAAAAAUGUGUUUCUGUGCCAAGAUAUCAUGUUUAUGAUUGAUGCCUGUUGUGAUACCGGUUUUUUAAUUCUUGAUAAUUCAAUUCAAGUACAUUCAACUUUCUUCUUGAUGAAAGCAUGAAACUUUAAUUGAGGAAACAUGUUUUGUCCCAAUAAUUUUCAAUCUUCUGCUUAUUGGAAUCUUCAUUCCAACAUAUUUUCCCCGUUUGGUUUAUAAUUAAUACCUAUUGGUAACGAUGAUGGGUUUUCGAUUUUUUCAUUUUGAGUAUUCAAGAACUUUCAAUCUUCUGCUUGGGAAAAAAAUGAACUUUCAAUUUUUGGAAGAGAUUAAAUGUCACUGAAUGUGAAAGCUAGUUGUUACCGUAAUUGCUUGUCUCUAUCGGUGUCCACUUCUCUUUUAAAAAAAAAUUAUGAAGUUUUAUUCAUAAUAAUGCAUGAAUGGAUAUAUAUUCUGCUUUGAUGACCCUUAGUCCCUAAAUUCAAUGUGGCAACUGCAAUUAGAAGUGAUUUUGCAUUAUGAACUUAAUGACCCUUGUCUCUAAUGUUACAUAAGGUUUUGUAAGGGAUGGAUGCCUCAAUGACCGUUGAGGAAAAUGCAUUAUGAAUUCUUUAUUCAUAAUGGAAAAGUUGGAUGGUGGCUUUCAAAGAAAAGUAAUUUUAAUAUGAAAUUUAUUCAAAAUGUGGACGGAUAGACUUUGUUCCAUGAUUUUUGUAAGGGUGGCCCAAAAAUGUUGGAUGAUGUCUUAAUGUGAAAGCUAGUUGUUGACCCUAGUCCCUAAAUGCUAUUAUCUAUUGUGCUUUGAUGUACCCUUAGUCCCUAAAUGCAAUUUUGCACCUACGGUAUGAAGUGAUUUUGCAAAGAAAUUGUUUCCUUGUGCAAUUUACGAAGCUGCCAUAUAACUACAACUCUAUAAUUAGCUUAACAAAAGGACCUUUAUACUAUGUUAUGUAUUUGGGAGAUUGGUGUUUCAUGCAGUCUAAUUUCGUUUUUGAGAACUUAUUCAGCCUAUGAGAUUUGCUGCUUUUCCAAAAUUUGAGCUUGAGUCUGGAUUUGUGCUGGGGAAAUCUUAUGUUGACCUUCUUCAGAAGCGCUUUAGUGCCUCUCUGUGCAAGCUUGUUGAUAAAUAUGCUGAAAUCUUAGCAAGUCAAGGGUUGCUGACCAUAGUAAUGGAGUAUCUAAAACUUUUGGGUUCUGAAGAACUUUCGAUAGAACUUGUUGUGAUAUUGAAGGACCGAAUUGCACUGUCUACGGAACCUGGUAAACUUUUUCUUGGAUUUCUAUAUGGCAUGGUUAAAAAAAUAGAGGAAAAUGAUACAAAUUGAAUGCUAUUUAUUAGCAAGUGACUCUUCAAAUGCCAUUUCUCGUUGAGGAAUACCUCAAGUACUAGCAUUUUUGUGUUUUUUAUUCUAGUGGGAUAGCAUUACCAUUAUAAUUGCAUAGUGAACAUCAGUGCGUAGUUAUAUUUUGCUGUUAUUAAACGUGCAACAUAUACACCUAACCAUAUUUCAGGAAGAUAUUGCCGGUUUUAGAAAGACCUAACUACUCAUGUGAUUACUUAUUGAUCACUCUUUUAAUAUUGUUAAUAACUAGUAGAGUGGGUACUUAUUGUUCCCGAACUGCCUCUUGUUGCUGAAUACCCUAGCUCCGACCGUUUCAACCGUUUAUCUUUGGGGAGAAACAGUUCUUCUUCUGAAGUUUUUUCUCUCGGUCUCGUUGCUGGUGGAUUAUGUGAUGGAAACAUUGAUAUCUGGAGUCCUCUCACUCUGAUUCGGUAAUUUGGUUUUUUUUCUUUCAAUCUUGCGUGUUGUUUUUUCCAUCUUAAAAAUUGAUGAUUUCGUUUAAUAGAUUGUGAAAUGCAUUGGUUGGAGAUAUGAUUAUAUAUCAGUAAUUCGGAUUUCGGAGAAGUAGAAAUGUUUUUCUGACGUUAUGAAUUGAUCUUGGAAUUUGCUGAUUAAAAAUUGAUGAUUUCGUUUAAUAGAUUGUGAAAUGCAUUGGUUGGAGAUAUGAUUAUAUAUCAGUAAUUCGGAUUUCGGAGAAGUAGAAAUGUUUUUCUGACGUUAUGAAUUGAUCUUGGAAUUUGCUGAAAAUUUUGUUUUAUAUAGUUCAGUUACAAUUUUCACUUAGUGCUAAAUGCUUUGGUGGUUUAAGUCUGGAGAAUUUUGGUUCAUUUUAAUAUAUACUUUCUCUGCUCGUUAUUGUAAGGCAUAAGGGACCGGUAUGUUCUUCUCUGUUUUUGUGAGCCUACUUGCUGCAAGUUUUUAUCGUCUUCUUUGUUCUCUGGCAUAUAUGUAGUGUUUGCUAUUGAAAUCAUAUCUUCGACAUUCUUAUAUCUCAGGUUUGUGGACUUGAGUUUAAUACAAUUGCACCCAAUUUUUGUGAUUUGAUGCAAGUAAAGGAUAAUUUUGGCUGCCAUUUAUACAUAAUCUAUGUGUUGGGAAACUCAAAACUAAAUUCCCGUACUAGAAUGGUUGUCGAGUGUCAUGAAAAUGGAGCAACACAGUAGUUUCUGUUUGAGUAAACAAAUUAUUGAGCUUCUUGGCUAGCUUCAUGUUUUUCUUUUGUUUGGUUGAAGUUGUUGAUAAAAUACACCUACAUUAUAAUUCAGUAUGUAGGUUCAUAGCUUUAUUGAUCAGUGUUUUAAUUUUAGUGUCGCAUGAUACAAUUUUCUCAAUUUCUUUCUAAUGAUUUUGUUUUUCUGAUAAAUUUUCUCCGCUUGGAGGAAAAUGAAAGUUCUCUCGUUGGACAACUUGUAAGGCAUAAGGGACCGGUUCGUGGACUUGAGUUUAAUACAAUUGCACCCAAUCUUCUUGCAUCUGGUGCUGAGAAUGGUGAAAUUUGCAUAUGGGAUUUGACCAAUCCUUCAGAGCCUACACAUUUUCCACCAUUGAAGGGUAGUGGCUCUGCUUCCCAGGGGAAGUUUCAUUCUUAUCUUGGAAUAGUAAAGUGCAACACAUAUUAGCAUCCACUUCAUAUAAUGGGACCACUAUGGUUUGGGACCUAAAGAAGCAAAAGCCAGUGAUAAGCUUUGCAGACACAGUUAGACGGUGGUGCUCAGCUUUGCAGUGGAAUCCUGUGUUGCUACACAACUUGUUGUUGCAUCAGAUGAAGACAGAUAUCCUUCUAUAGGGGUAUAGUCUCUGCGGAUUGUCUGUUUAUUUUAAAGGCAAUAUGUCUGUGUAUUGACUUUAUAUGAGCAUGUUGGCGCAAUUUUGGGAUAUGAGGAAUAUAAUGACACCGAUAAAAGAGUUUUUGGGGCACACUAGAGGCGUAAUUGCAAUGUCAUGGUGUCCCAAUGAUAGCUCUUAUUUGCUUACCUGUUGCAAAGAUAGCCGAACCAUAUGCUGGGACACUAUUUCUGGAGAGAUUGCAUAUGAAUUGCCAGCCGGAACUAACUGGAACUUUGAUGUGCAUUGGUAUUCUAAGAUACCUGGAGUAAUAGCAUCUUCCUUUGGAAAAAUAGGCAUAUACAAGGUUCAACAAUCAUACGCAAUGUUUCCUUUGCCAAGUUCCUCAUCUCAAGAACAAUACCAUGCGCAACCAUCAAUGCAUGCACUAUCAUUUGCAUCUCAUAGCCAUUCUGACUCAUCUAUCAAUGUUGCUGAUCAACCUUUAGAUUUUGCACCUAGGUAUAGUCGUGAUGGUGACAUGCAAAUUCAAUCAACUUAUAAUCAUCAUCAUUCCGGUUCUUCAAUGAAUAACUAGGGUGCUCCAGUGGCACCUGGUGUUGGUUAUCUACCAAUACCUCCAAGUCUUCCCUCAGGGGUCAGGGCCACAGCACAAUCCUUCUAUUACCACUCCUGGUCAUGUAGCAGCACCAUAUGGAAGGUUUCCUGGACCUGGUCACCCUCUAACAAUUCCACCAAAUGGUGCACCCUAUUCUCUUAGUACAGUAGCUACGAUUCAUCCUACUGCAGCUUUCUCUGCUGAUAAAUACGGCGUUUCUGGUGUUCCUGAACGCCCUAAGAAGGCACCAGUCCCUAACUGGCUUAGAGAGGAAAUAAAGAAAACAGUCAUUGCCGCUCCUUCAGCAGAUCACCCAAAAGUUGAACAAACACUUGUGCGUGAUGGCAUUGAUAAAUCAUAUGCGAAGGCUGAUGAUGAGACGGAUAGUAGAAGUAUUGAUUUGUCUAUAUCAGCUGAGGACGAAGAGGUCGAAGUUGAUAGAACUGCAGAAAUCAACCAAGAAAUAAAAAAAAAAUCUUUUGAAGGUUACUGAUAAAUUGUUUGAUGAGAUUGCAACCAAAGUUCUUAGUGAAGACGAUCUGCCUGCUGAAGUGGGUCAUAAUGUUGCCACUUCAAACCAUAAUGCAUCAACCUCUCCACCCUCUGCUCCGGUUGCUAAGGCAACUGCUAAAGUUUUAGGUCCAGUUAAAGCAAAGGAAAUAGAGACUGAUGGUGCCAAUGAAAAAUCUAAUUCAAGCUCUCCUGGAGAUGUUUUAGGUCUUGGAAAUUAUGGCUCUGAUGCCGAUGAUGAAAUUGAGAGUUCCACUGUGCCUGCUCCUGCAAAAGAUGAUGCGUAUAUGGUGAAUAAUAUAGUUAAAACCAACUCAUCGCUAUCCAGAAAUAGCAAUGGUGAUGCUAUUGAUCAAUGACAUGAUGCUAUGAUGACCGAAGAAUCUGAUCAUUCAUAUUCCAAGAUAGUUUAUAAAGAUGCCAGGGAUAAUGGGCUUGAUGCAAUUGAAAGAAGCCACAAAAGAUUUAAUGGUUAUAGCUCGAAAGACAUGUCAGGGGUGCCAAGAUCUGAAUUGUGGAAAGAAUGGUGUGGAGAAAGCAACAGAAGAUCAUCUAGGAAAGGAAAGCAGAAGAAAAUAAGAAAAAAAAAUUACCGACAUAACAAGAGUUCUUCCGAAAAGGAUUUUAAGGAGGUAAAAAGUAGUCACAAACAAGUCCAGGACAGAUGAAAAAAGUGACGAGAGAAAAAGAAGAAAGGAUGAAAGAAAUCAGAAAAAGGAACAAACAGAUUACAUCAGUGAGUCAAAUGAAAGAUCGAAAGAGCACAAUGUAAGGCAUGGGGAGAAGUCAAAGGAAUCAGAAUCAAGGAAAAGGUCCUCCCAUGUUGAUGUCAAGGAUGAUAGGAAGGGAGGAGAAAAACCUCACAGAGGUCGUACCACUGAAGACACUAGCCGAAAAAAGGAGCAUUCAAACGAUAAGGGGGAGCAAAAAUCUAGGCGAAGUGACCAUGACAGGCACAAAAGAUGGCGUUCUUCGUCAGUAAGCAGUAGAGGUAGAACCAGCAAGUAUCAUAGUCAUGCCGAUGAUUCAAGUGGUGAAGGCUCAGAUGGCUCGAAAAGGAAGCCGCGUUCAAGAAAACGUGAAUUGUCACCAUCUCCGGUCAGGUCUAAAAGAAGUGUUGCCGUGGUUCUGGAGAGACUGAUUUUAUUGCAGGUGAUGCUUUAAUUAUUUAAUUCUAUCAAAUAAGUUACUCACUACAGUAUAAUAUUUACUUUCUUAUAAUUCAUCUGCAUGUAUCAUGCUCAGUCUAUGUAGAUUUUGUUUCUAAGCAUUUGGUGGUGUAUGCUUUUUUUUUGUGGCAUUUGGUGGUGUAUGCUUUUUUUUUUUUGUGGCAUUUGGUGGUGAAAUGACACAUGCUGGUGGUGUGUCUUUUGCCUUUGGAGGUAAACUUGUGUCAUUUCGUCCUAGAGGCAAGAUUUUAGUACUUUGAGUAUAUUUCUUUGUCCAUGUUCUGUAACCUUUCAGUUGAAUUCAUCUUAUUUAUAAUUUUCCAGGUUUAUGUGCAUAACAUGGUCACUGAAGACGGUCACCAUACUGGUAGUUGAUAUUAUUACAUCUUACAAUCUAUUUAAAUUUCAUAUACAACAAAAAUUGUCAAAUUCCUAUCAGAUAUUUUUUUUUUAUAAAUCUCUUCCAUUUGUGAUUCAUUUCUAUUUUCAGGUUGUUUCAGCGAUGGUGAGCAAUGAUCUCUUAAGCCUUGUGAACACUAGGCCUCUAAAAUUCUGGAAAGAAACCCUUUGCUCUUCUUGCAGUAGAAAGACUUGAAAACCACUGCUUUUGAAAAUUCUCAAUCACAUGGUGGAUCCUUUUAUGGGGCUGGUAAUUCCAAUUAUAAUAUGAAUUAUUAUUAGGUAGUUACUCUAACUUUGUUCCUUGGCAUUUUUCGUUUGGUGCAAAGCAUAGUGUUUAGUGGUCAAUGAGUUUGAUUGAGUUAUCAGUUGUCACCCUUAGGUUUGAUGGGAAAACAGAAUGUGAACCUACAUAAUGUCCAUCAUUAAGUUACCUUAACUACUCAUCAAAGAUAUUAAACAAUUUUGACCAAAGGUCAAAUUCUCAUUUUUCAGUUUUCUAAUUUGGUUUGAUUUUAAACAACUUGAAGGUAAUUAAUUUGGCAUUAUGAUUCAUUUUCUCAUUCUUCAAUAUAAACACAACAUUCAUCAAUCUUCUGCUUGAAAAAUGGUAUAACUUUACCCAUUUUUCUCAUUCUUGAUCAUUCAUGAACAUUCAAUCUUAUGCUUGAGAAAAACAAAAAAAAAAAGCUUAAGUUUGCAAAGUGUUCUGUUCCAAGAUCCUGUUAAACCUUAAGUGUGCAAAGCGUUCUGUUCCUAGGUCCUGUUUGAUGUACCAAUAUUUCAAUAGACAGUUUUUUGUCUGUUACGAUAAUGGAGUUUCACACGUUUUUUGAAAUUUCUGGAUAAAUUACUUAAUGACUGUAGUCCCUGAAUGUGAAAAAGUUAGUUGUUGCCUUAAUUGCUACUCAAGCAACUGUUUCUAUCAGUGUUCUCUUUUCUAUUAAUUUUUAUUCACAAUAAUGAAUGGAUAUAUAUAUAUUCUGCCUUGUUGCAACUGCAAUUAAAAGUGAUUUUGCAUUAUGAACUUAAUGACCCUUGUCCCUAAUGUUUCAUAUGUUUUGUAAGGGAUGAAUGCUUCAAUGACCUUUGAUGAAAAUGCAUUAUGAAUGCUUUCUUGAUGCCCAAAAAGUGUUGUAUAAAUUACUUAAUGAUCGUAGUCCCUGAAUGUGAAAAAGCUAGUUGUUGCCUUAAUUGCUACUCGAUCAAUUGCCUCUAUCGGUGUUCCCUUUUCUAUUAAAAAAAAUAUGAAUGUUUAUUCAUAAUAAUUCAUGAAUAGAUAUAUAUUCUGCUUUGAUGACCCUUAGUCCCUAAAUUCAAUUUUGCAACUGCAAUUAGAAGUGAUUUUGCAUUAUGAAUUUAAUGACCCUUGUCCCUAAUGUUUCAUAAGUUUUGUUAUGGAUGGAUGCUUCAAUGACCUUCAAACGAAAAUGCAUUAUGAAUGCUUUCGAAGCACAUUGUGGAAAAAUUGGAUGGUGGCUUUCAAAGCAAAGGAAUUUUAAUAUGAAUUUUAUUGUCUUUUUAUGAGCGUAAUUGUGAAAUUGUCACUAGUUGGUAUGGUAUACAUGAGCUCACUAACUCCAAAUUUCACAGUAAGAUGGAUAUACUUUGUUCCAUGGUUUUUGCAAGGGAUUGUCUUGGUGGCCCAAAAAACGCUGGAUGAUGCCUUAAUGUGAAAGCUGGUUAUUGCCUUAAAUGCAAUUUUAAUAUAAAAUUUCAUAGCCUAUUGAUAAGGGGUUUCAAGAGAAUUCUCCAAAGAAGAAACGAAUCAACUAAAGAAAAGUACAAAGAAACUAACUUUUUGGCACAACCUCUCUGGUAUGCAGCCUACAAACUUGUUGUGAGUGAUGACAAUUCUUUCAGACAAUAUUAUUAUGCAACAGGUAUGCUCUGUGCCGAGAACCUUGAAAGAUAUUCUCGUUCGUUUGCUAUGGUAAUUUUGGGAACUUUCUUUCCACACAUAUAUGCAUUCAUGCAUGUUAAGAUACCCAUUUUCUCAUCCUUGAUUGAAAAAUAUGCAAUCUUUAUCUUGAUAAAAACAAAACAAACUUAAUAAUUGAGCAAAUGUGUUUUGUCCCAAGACCCCUGUUUGCUACUCUUUUUGUUUGCCUAGGUAAUUUUGGUACUUUGAUUGCAAUAUAUUUGCAUUGGUACAUGUUGGGAUACUCAUUUUUUUUCAUUUUUUAUUUAGUCAAGAACAUUCAAUCUUCUGCUUGAGAAAAACGUAGAGUCCUACUCCUACCCAUUUUUCUCAUUCUUGAUUAUUCAAAAGCAUUCAAUCUUCUGCUUGCGAAAAACAAAAUAUAGCCUUAUUUGAGCAAACAGUGUUCUGUCCUAAGAUCUUGUUUGAUUCCAAUAUUUUGAAAGAUUAACUUUUUCGUUUGCUAUGCGGUAAUUUUUGAACUUUCAUUUCAAUAUAUUUGCUUUGAUAGUUUGAUACUUGUUGGCAUACCCAUUUUUUAUUUAUAAUUAUUCAAGUACAUUCAACUUUCUGCUUGAAAAACAAUAGAACAUUACCCAUUAUUCUCAUUCUUGAUUAUUCAAGAACAUUCCAUCUUCUGCUUGCUUGAGAAAAAAAGUGAAUUUUCAAUUCAGUAAAUCAAAAUUUUAAAGGGUAUAAAAACCUAUAAGACUGAAUAAUACGGAAUUUUUUUUUCAUUAUAUGAAAAAAAAAAGAGGGUGGAGUAUAUUGCCCUAGUAGUAACCCCAAAUUUGACCGUUGAAAUCGACGAAUAUACUUUGUUUUAUAAAUUUUGGAAUGGGUGAAUCAUAGAUGCCUCAAUGACCAUAGAGUAAAACGUUGGAUGAACUUAAUGACCCUAGUCAUUAAAUGUGAAAGCUAGUUGUCGCCUUAAGUGCCACUCAAGCAAUUGUCUUUAUCGAUUUUCUCUUUUUUGUGAAUGGAUAUCUAUUUUUGUAAGUGAUUUUCUUGAUGGCCCAAAAAUGCAGGAUGAUGCCUUAUUGUGAAAGCUAGUUGAUGAGAAGCAAUUGUCUCUAUCUAUUAUUGCAGAAGUUUUUGUUUUAUUUCAUUGUGAUUGUUUGUAUUGCCUUUAUGAUUUCAAUCAUGGUUGAAUUAUUUAGAUUGAUAUAACAACAUAUUCUUAUACAUAGAGUAACUUUGUUCAACAGUAGUUCACUAGUGCAGUUCUGUAAUAGCAGACUGUCAUCCUUUUGGAUUGAUUAUGAGUCCACCGUCCCAUAGAUGUGGAGAGACUCUAGAGAGAUGAUUGAAGCUUUGGUUGGAGGAUAGAAACUAGGGGACAAUAACAGAUUGUUACAGUUCCCUUUGAUAAGAACUAGAACAGAUUGGGUGAAGGAGAAUUAUUCGUCCCCGGAGUUUAUUAAAUUUGAAAAGAAAAGAAAAGAAAAGAUACACUGAGGAAGAUACUCCCCACUACUGGUGAUUCCCAGCACUAAACAAAAGCCAAAAGAAAAAGAUCCUUCUAAAGGGGGAGGAGACUUUCUGUACAAGGGAAUAGGGCCAUAAGGGAGGUCUUUUAGUAACUGACUCCUAAAACCAAGGUCAGCUAACAACCCCUAACUACCUUGGUAACUAACUUUUUAAAACAAAAAACAAACUAAAAACAUAACUAAUACAAAGGGUAUUUCUAGAAUUUUUUCCUAACAUAAACUCUUAGAGGUUGGGCAUCUAAAUUAGUGGUCCUAUCAUAGGUGCUGGGAACUUUCUAUUGAAUCCCACCUUUUAAGGUUGAUUUGUUAACAGGAAGGCUUUUUAUGUCGGAAGUUAAUGUGGGAAAAAGUUUUCUUAAUAUGGUAAUUCUAUGAUUUAAGUUUGCCUUUUCCCCUCUAUAAUUAGAUUAACAAGAGGACCUUUUUCACCAUGUUAUGUAUUUGGGAGAUUUGGUGCUUAAUGCAGUCCUAUUUUCGUUUUUUA